UACAGAGGUCUCAAGCGUUGUUCGGAUUCAUUGGGCGUAAAGGGCGCGUAGGCGGCCCCGUAAGUCAGGCGUGAAAUUUCGGAGCUUAACUCCGAAACUGCAUUUGAUACUGCGGUGCUUGAGGACUGGAGAGGAGACUGGAAUUCACGGUGUAGCAGUGAAAUGCGUAGAUAUCGUGAGGAAGACCAGUGGCGAAGGCGGGUCUCUGGACAGUUCCUGACACUGAGGCACGAAGGCCAGGGGAGCAAACGGG
This 253-nucleotide ribosomal RNA is filed under the name uncultured bacterium. RNAcentral describes it as "partial 16S ribosomal RNA". It matches the Rfam family "Bacterial small subunit ribosomal RNA", at positions 524 to 776 of the family's 1533-position model. The record is from RNAcentral.